This 73-nucleotide transfer RNA is filed under the name Aeromicrobium marinum DSM 15272. It matches the Rfam family "tRNA". Rfam says of the family: Transfer RNA (tRNA) molecules are approximately 80 nucleotides in length. Their secondary structure includes four short double-helical elements and three loops (D, anti-codon, and T loops). Lineage: Bacteria; Bacillati; Actinomycetota; Actinomycetes; Propionibacteriales; Nocardioidaceae. The record is from Rfam by way of RNAcentral.
GUGGCUGUAGCUCAGUUGGUAGAGUCCCGGCUUGUGGUGCCGGUUGUCGCGGGUUCGAGCCCCGUCAGUCACC